RNAcentral lists this ribosomal RNA (446 nucleotides) under uncultured bacterium. RNAcentral's name for it is "bacterial SSU rRNA". It matches the Rfam family "Bacterial small subunit ribosomal RNA", at positions 329 to 792 of the family's 1533-position model. The record is from RNAcentral.
CCCCAGACUCCUACGGGAGGCAGCAGUGGGGAAUAUUGCACAAUGGGGGAAACCCUGAUGCAGCGACGCCGCGUGAGUGAAGAAGUAUUUCGGUAUGUAAAGCUCUAUCAGCAGGGAAGAAAAUGACGGUACCUGACUAAGAAGCCCCGGCUAACUACGUGCCAGCAGCCGCGGUAAUACGUAGGGGGCAAGCGUUAUCCGGAUUUACUGGGUGUAAAGGGAGCGUAGACGGCAUGGCAAGUCAGAUGUGAAAGCCCGGGGCUCAACCCCGGGACUGCAUUUGAAACUGUCAGGCUGGAGUGCAGGAGAGGUAAGUGGAAUUCCUAGUGUAGCGGUGAAAUGCGUAGAUAUUAGGAGGAACACCAGUGGCGAAGGCGGCUUACUGGACUGUAACUGACGUUGAGGCUCGAAAGCGUGGGGAGCAAACAGGAUUAGAUACCCGCGUA